AGAGUUUGAUCCUGGCUCAGGAUGAACGCUAGCGGCGUGCUUAAUGCAUGCAAGUCGAACGAGGCUGGAGCAAUCCGGCCUAGUGGCGGACGGGUGAGUAAGACGUUGGUGACCUACCCUGGAGAGGGGGAUAACUAUUGGAAACGAUAGCUAAUACCCCGGAUGUCGACCUGGUUAGAGAGGGUUGACUGAAGCUACGGUGCUCUAGGAGGGGCCAGCGGCCCAUCAGCUAGUUGGUGUGGUAACGGCACACCAAGGCGAAGACGGGUAGGGGGCGUGAGAGCGUGACCCCCCACACUGGUACUGAGAGACGGACCAGAUACCUACGGGUAGCAGCAGCAAGGAAUAUUGCCCAAUGGACGGAAGUCUGAGGCAGCAACGCCGCGUGAAGGAUGAAGGCCUUCGGGUCGUAAACUUCUUUUAAGAGGGAAGAGAAAGGACGGUACCUCUUGAAUAAGCUUCGGCUAACUACGUGCCAGCAGCCGCGGUAAAACGUAGGAAGCGAGCGUUAUCCGGAUUUACUGGGCGUAAAGCGCAUGCAGGCGGUUCCAUAAGUUAGACUUGAAAGCUCCUGGCUCAACUAGGAGAGGCGGUUUAAGACUGUGGGACUAGAGGAUGGACGAGGAGAGCGGAAUUCCCGGUGUAGUGGUGAAAUGCGUAGAUAUCGGGAGGAACACCAGUGGCGAAAGCGGCUCUCUAGGCCGUACCUGACGCUCAGAUGCGAAAGCCAGGGGAGAGAACGGGAUUAGAAACCCCGGUAUUCCUGGCCGUAAACGAUGUUAACUAGGCGUAGGGGGUGUCAAAGCCUUCUGUGCUGCAGCCAACGCGAUAAGUUAACCGCCUGGGGACUACGGCCGCAAGGCUAAAACUCAAAGGAAUUGACGGGGGCCCGCACAAGCAGCGGAGCGUGUGGUUUAAUUCGAGAUACGCGAAGAACCUUACCAGGGAAUGAUAUGCAGAUGGUAGCGAGGUGAAAGCUGAGCGACCCUUCGGGGAGUCUGCACAGGUGCUGCAUGGCUGUCGUCAGCUCGUGCCGUGAGGUGUUAGGUUAAGUCCUGUAACGAGCGCAACCCUCGUCGUUAGUUACAAGUGUCUAACGAGACCGCCGGUGAUAAGCCGGAGGAAGGUGGGGAUGACGUCAAGUCAGCAUGGCCUUUAUAUCCUGGGCUACACACACGCUACAAUGGCCGGUACAAUGGGCUGCGAAACCGCGAGGUGGAGCCAAUCCCGCAAAGCCGGUCUCAGUUCGGAUGGCAGGCUGCAACUCGCCUGCCUGAAGUCGGAGUUGCUAGUAACCGCGCGUCAGCAUAGUGCGGUGAAUACGUUCCCGGGCCUUGUACACACCGCCCGUCACGUCAUGGAAGUUGGCAACGCCUGAAGCCGGUGGGCUAACCCGCAAGGGGAGCAGCCGUCCGAGGCGGGGUCGGUAACUGGGACGAAGUCGUAACAAGGUA
This 1454-nucleotide ribosomal RNA is filed under the name metagenome. RNAcentral's name for it is "bacterial SSU rRNA". It matches the Rfam family "Bacterial small subunit ribosomal RNA". The record is from RNAcentral.